CUGAAGGUUAAAUGGAGGGAUGUUGAUGGGUACGAAUACAUGAAAUUUUAUCCGAAUCCGAAUUUGAACAGAGCGGAUUUUCGACGGAUGUGUAUACGGAUAUAGAUUUUGAGUAUACUCGCCUCAAACCCAAACACGAACCCGACCUAACUCAAAUUAAUUUUAUAUUAUAUAAUAUAUAUAGAGUUCGGCUGCAAUGCUAUCGAUAGCACUAAGCACUUAGUGUUAUCAAAUUUUAUGCCGUUAAAUCAACCCUUUUGAUUAUUUUCAUCCGUUAGAUUAUAUUAUUCAACCAACCACCCACUAAACUCUAAGGAAUUAUUAACAUCAUAAUCGUACAUCGCUUCAUCUAAGAUCCAAAAACUUAAUGGUACCGAUGACUAGGUGCUAUUAAUGGUUCACAUAUAUAGAGUGGGUUGGUAUGCUUAGGAAAGCACGGAGCCCUUCGUGCUUUCAAGUUGUUUUCGAUGUUCGGACUUUCGAAUCGACGAUCGGCUCCGUUUGUAACAUAUGGAAACUUGGAGUCGCGAUGUCAACUUUGACCUAGAGGGUCAAAGUGAGGAUUGAGCUAGUUGGACAUUAUCCCCGAGGGAUUUGUGAUGCGUUGGAAUGAGUUCCAAAGAGAAAUAAGUGUGUUGGCGCAAAUUGGGUGCGAAACGAAAUGUAAAGAGAGUAAAGAGAAUUUCGGAUUUCCGACGCUAACUUUGAUUAAAAGAAUUAAAGUAAGGCGGAAGGAUACAUUGUGGUAUCUCCGAAUCAAUUGUGAAGUUUUGGAAAAGCCAAGGGUGUGUUUUCAAAGGGUUUUGAAGAGCUCAGUGCGAAGUGGUAGUGCAAAACGGCCAUGUAUUGGAAUUGGAGCCGAUUCUAUUUCUAAUUCGGCUCAAAUAAUGUCAAAAUGAAAAGGAAUUGCUUCCAAAUUAAAUUGGUAGCUUGGGAAGGUCCCUUGGUGUAUUUUGGAAGUGUUUGGGUGAAAUCGGAGCGAAAACGGAAAAUUUAGAAUUUUCUGUAAGGAACGGGACUGAGAAAAUUAGCAGAAAAUGCACAGUGUCAGAAAAUUACGAAAAUUGGCAGAGAUGUCAGGAAUAUUAUUAUAAGGCUAGUUUUGAAGUUUCAGAUUUUUCUGACACCUGUAGAGAGAGAAAUAGCAUCUGGAAAUUAUCUGAUAAAGAUUACAGUUCGGGACAGUUCGCAGUGACCAAACGGGGUCGAAACUGAAAUGUUAAAAUUUCAGUGGACUUGUUAAGUAAAAACGAACAUUCCUGCCAAAUUUGAGCUCAAUCGGACUUUCGG
RNAcentral lists this long non-coding RNA (1290 nucleotides) under Ananas comosus (pineapple). RNAcentral's name for it is "long non-coding RNA (ACOM_LNC009744)". The record is from RNAcentral. Lineage: Eukaryota; Viridiplantae; Streptophyta; Magnoliopsida; Poales; Bromeliaceae.